UACGAAGGGUGCAAGCGUUACUCGGAAUUACUGGGCGUAAAGCGUGCGUAGGUGGUGAGUUAAGUCUGUCGUGAAAGCCCCGGGCUCAACCUGGGAAUGGCGAUGGAAACUGGCUCGCUAGAGUGCGGUAGAGGAGAGUGGAAUUCCCGGUGUAGCAGUGAAAUGCGUAGAGAUCGGGAGGAACAUCAGUUGCGAAGGCGGCUCUCUGGACCAGCACUGACACUGAGGCACGAAAGCGUGGGGAGCAAACAGG
RNAcentral lists this ribosomal RNA (253 nucleotides) under uncultured bacterium. Its description in RNAcentral is "partial 16S ribosomal RNA". It matches the Rfam family "Bacterial small subunit ribosomal RNA", at positions 524 to 776 of the family's 1533-position model. The record is from RNAcentral.